CGCAUGUCUGUCCCGUGUUCUUUAAGUGGUCUUUGGCUUGUGACGGAUUUUGCAGAACUUGAGAGCAAUGUGUGAAGAAUAAUUGAAAGAGAAAAUGAAUGUUAUUUGAAACUACAAAGACAUG
Molecule: long non-coding RNA, 124 nt
Organism: Pyrus x bretschneideri (Chinese white pear)
Lineage: Eukaryota; Viridiplantae; Streptophyta; Magnoliopsida; Rosales; Rosaceae
Exons: 3
Source: RefSeq, a predicted model, not a curated record